AUGGCGUGCGACGCGUGCGGCUGCGCUUGCAGCGCCGGCGGCGAAGCACCCAGGGUGGAGCUGAAAGCGCCACUGCUGGUGGAUAUCGAGACCGGACCCAGCCCCAUCACGGCGGCGCCGGCAGACAGCGAGGUCGACGACGGGAUGGAGAAGGGGCGCAUGAUCGUCACCUCCAUUGCCCGGGGAUUGUUGCUUUUGCUGUGGUUGUAUCUGGUCGAUUUAAUGAGAAGACCUUUGAUCAAUGAUGGCGAUAGUGAAUUUAGCCCGAUACACAUAGUUUGUGUCGGUUUCCCGGCCGUACUCGUGGGCAUGGUUUUCUUGCAAAUCUGUGUGUCCAUAUCCGUUCCUACAGAUGCCUCUGGAGUUCCUAUAGGGUUUGAACUUUGA
Molecule: ribosomal RNA, 387 nt
Filed under: Triticum aestivum (bread wheat)
Lineage: Eukaryota; Viridiplantae; Streptophyta; Magnoliopsida; Poales; Poaceae
Description: partial small subunit ribosomal RNA
Source: RNAcentral